Molecule: ribosomal RNA, 87 nt
Filed under: Caragana sp. US:3541335
Lineage: Eukaryota; Viridiplantae; Streptophyta; Magnoliopsida; Fabales; Fabaceae
Description: partial 5.8S ribosomal RNA
Rfam family: 5.8S ribosomal RNA
About the family: 5.8S ribosomal RNA (5.8S rRNA) is a component of the large subunit of the eukaryotic ribosome. It is transcribed by RNA polymerase I as part of the 45S precursor that also contains 18S and 28S rRNA. Functionally, it is thought that 5.8S rRNA may be involved in ribosome translocation.
Source: RNAcentral
UGCAGAAUCCCGUGAACCAUCGAGUCUUUGAACGCAAGUUGCGCCCGAAGCCAUUAGGUUGAGGGCACGUCUGCCUGGGCGUCACAU